AAAUUAUUUCAUUGAAUUAAUAUCCUUCCUCCAGGAGUUCAAUUAUUUUGAAAUAAAAACCUUUUCUAGACAUUCUUCACAUCCCUACUAGAAGAUAGUCCAGUACUUCAAACUCAGUGACUCUCCCCCUAAAAUAUCUUAUUCACAGACAGACUUUUAAAAAAGUCUUAAUUACAGAAACACCGUGCAUGGUGUCUAGUCCUCAAACACCAUGCUCUAAGAACUGGACCUUUCUUCGGCCCUGGUAACUGUGGUUUCAUAUGAUUAUACAUUCCCACUACCACCCCAACCCAGACUGACAGGUCCCCAAGACCAAGGUGAAACCCUCAGACUUUCCUCCAGAGAAUGAAAACAAGGAUUCUAGAAUGUUCGUCAAGUUUCUGUUGAUUUCAGACUGAGGCUGAGGUGGCCAUUGUGAGGCAGCCAUCUUGAGCCAGAUGCAUGGAGAAGGAGCCAAAGCUAGAUGGUUCCUAGUUCACGGCCCCAGUCUUCUGUGAACCCUGAUCGCAUUUCCUGCGUUUGGGUCCCGAGACAUAUCCUAAUCUUUGACGUAUAUUAUGCCAUUUUUGCAACCAUGAGAAGCGCCCCUGAGGCAAAGAUAUUCCCGAUAUCACCGAAGAACGGUGGGCCACAACUGUCAGUGCUCAGCUGGAGAGGAACAGGUCUACUACCUUGCAACACAUUUUCUUUUAUUCACAACUUAUUGCUGAGUCAUCUUUUGUCUGUGCUGCUUCAGGAGGGCUGAUCUAUCUGUUCACAAUACAACUCCGGUGACCCCACUGUCCAGAACUACACCGGGCAGGGGAUCCUACCAACCAACCUUGUUAGCGAACACUUUCCCUGCAAAUAACAGAAGGAAAACAUUAGCCCAGCAUUCCGCUUUCUUCUUCAAUGCUUAGGUUUUUGUCUUUUUGCUGUUUUAAGCUUGAGAAUUAAUUGAGUGGGGACUACGGGAUCCUACGAUUCCACAGUACAUGGGAAUGGAAGCUCUAUAAGGCAGGGUUGAUGCCUGUUUACCUUGGUGUCUUCGGGCCCUGCAGAGCACCCCACACAAAGCAAACGCCCCUCAAAAAAUCAAAGGGCGAAAAGGAGAACAGUCAAGAACACAAACCCUGGAGUCAGAUCUGGGUUAGAAUUCUAAAUCCUCCACUUACAGCCUCGUAAUAUUCACCGGGGUACAGAAUUCCACUAAGAAUUUUAUGUACAUUAUCUUAUUUAAUACUCCUUCCCCCCAAAAGCUUUAAGGUAUUAUUACCCCUCAUUUUACACUUUAUGAAAAGUAAACAACUUACCUGAGGCCACAAAGUUCCCGAGCCCAUGCCUAAGUCCCUAACACCUAUAGGAUAAACUGUGGCUUACCAUUCAAU
Molecule: long non-coding RNA, 1367 nt
Filed under: Mustela putorius furo (domestic ferret)
Lineage: Eukaryota; Metazoa; Chordata; Mammalia; Carnivora; Mustelidae
Description: lncRNA (ENSMPUG00000030055.1)
Source: RNAcentral